AAGAGUUUGAUCAUGGCUCAGAUUGAACGCUGGCGGCAGGCCUAACACAUGCAAGUCGAACGGUAACAGGAAGCAGCUUGCUGCUUCGCUGACGAGUGGCGGACGGGUGAGUAAUGUCUGGGAAACUGCCUGAUGGAGGGGGAUAACUACUGGAAACGGUGGCUAAUACCGCAUAACGUCGCAAGACCAAAGAGGGGGACCUUCGGGCCUCUUGCCAUCAGAUGUGCCCAGAUGGGAUUAGCUAGUUGGUGAGGUAACGGCUCACCAAGGCGACGAUCCCUAGCUGGUCUGAGAGGAUGACCAGCCACACUGGAACUGAGACACGGUCCAGACUCCUACGGGAGGCAGCAGUGGGGAAUAUUGCACAAUGGGCGCAAGCCUGAUGCAGCCAUGCCGCGUGUAUGAAGAAGGCCUUCGGGUUGUAAAGUACUUUCAGCGGGGAGGAAGGUGUUGUGGUUAAUAACCACAGCAAUUGACGUUACCCGCAGAAGAAGCACCGGCUAACUCCGUGCCAGCAGCCGCGGUAAUACGGAGGGUGCAAGCGUUAAUCGGAAUUACUGGGCGUAAAGCGCACGCAGGCGGUCUGUCAAGUCGGAUGUGAAAUCCCCGGGCUCAACCUGGGAACUGCAUUCGAAACUGGCAGGCUUGAGUCUUGUAGAGGGGGGUAGAAUUCCAGGUGUAGCGGUGAAAUGCGUAGAGAUCUGGAGGAAUACCGGUGGCGAAGGCGGCCCCCUGGACAAAGACUGACGCUCAGGUGCGAAAGCGUGGGGAGCAAACAGGAUUAGAUACCCUGGUAGUCCACGCCGUAAACGAUGUCUACUUGGAGGUUGUGCCCUUGAGGCGUGGCUUCCGGAGCUAACGCGUUAAGUAGACCGCCUGGGGAGUACGGCCGCAAGGUUAAAACUCAAAUGAAUUGACGGGGGCCCGCACAAGCGGUGGAGCAUGUGGUUUAAUUCGAUGCAACGCGAAGAACCUUACCUGGUCUUGACAUCCACGGAAGUUUUCAGAGAUGAGAAUGUGCCUUCGGGAACCGUGAGACAGGUGCUGCAUGGCU
This 1054-nucleotide ribosomal RNA is filed under the name Salmonella enterica subsp. enterica serovar Paratyphi B. Its description in RNAcentral is "partial 16S ribosomal RNA". It matches the Rfam family "Bacterial small subunit ribosomal RNA", at positions 1 to 1050 of the family's 1533-position model. Lineage: Bacteria; Pseudomonadati; Pseudomonadota; Gammaproteobacteria; Enterobacterales; Enterobacteriaceae. The record is from RNAcentral. RNAcentral also lists the same sequence under 1 other name.